Molecule: ribosomal RNA, 240 nt
Filed under: uncultured bacterium
Lineage: Bacteria
Description: partial 16S ribosomal RNA
Rfam family: Bacterial small subunit ribosomal RNA
Source: RNAcentral
GUGCAAGCGUUAAUCGGAAUCACGUGGGACGUAAAGCGCUCGUAGGUGGUCUUGUAAGUCAGGUGUGAAAGCCCACGGCUCAACCGUGGAAUUGCACUUGAUACUGCAUUGCUUGAGUUCGGGAGAGGGUAGUGGAAUUCCAGGUGUAGGAGUGAAAUCCGUAGAGAUCUGGAGGAACACCAGUGGCGAAGGCGACUACCUGGACCGAUACUGACACUGAGGAGCGAAAGCGUGGGGAGC